RNAcentral lists this ribosomal RNA (460 nucleotides) under uncultured bacterium. RNAcentral describes it as "partial 16S ribosomal RNA". It matches the Rfam family "Bacterial small subunit ribosomal RNA", at positions 338 to 795 of the family's 1533-position model. The record is from RNAcentral.
CCUACGGGAGGCAGCAGUGAGGAAUAUUGCACAAUGGACGAGAGUCUGAAGCAGCCAAGUAGCGUGAAGGAUGACUGCCCUAUGGGUUGUAAACAUCUUUUAUAAAGGAAUAAAACGAGGCACGUAUGCCUUUUUGCAUGUACUUUAUGAAUAAGGAUCGGCCAACUCAGUGCCAGCAGCCGAGGUAAUACGGAGGGUCCGAGCGUUGUGCGGAUUUAUUGGGUUUAAAGGGAGCGUAGAUGGGUUGUUAAGUCAGAUGUGAAAGUUUGCGGCUCAACCGUAAGAUUGCAAUUGAUACUGGCAGUCUUGAGUACAGUAGAGGGAGGUGGAAUGCGUGGUGUAGCGGUGAAAUGCGUAGAGAUCACGAAGAACCCCGAUUGCGAAGGCGGCUUACUAGACUGUGACUGACAUUGAUGCUCGAAAGUGUGGGUAUCAAACAGGAUUAGAUACCCGUGUAGUC